AAGUCGUAACAAGGUUUCCGUAGGUGAACCUGCGGAAGGAUCAUUAACGAAUGACAAGUCGGUCGUCUGUGCUGGCGGAAACGCAUGUGCACGUCGGUCGCAAAUCCACACACCCGUGCACUUUGGACUUUGGGGCUCGCGUUCGCACGCAGUCGGUCGCCUCUGGGCGACUUGAGCCCCGAGGUGUUUACACACACUCUGAAUGUAAUGGAAUGUACCUGUGCUUAAUCGCGCAUUUAAUACAACUUUCAACAACGGAUCUCUUGGUUCUG
RNAcentral lists this unclassified non-coding RNA (272 nucleotides) under fungal sp. RNAcentral's name for it is "partial internal transcribed spacer region". The stretch from base 1 to 46 matches the Rfam family "Eukaryotic small subunit ribosomal RNA", at positions 1786 to 1831 of the family's 1831-position model. Lineage: Eukaryota; Fungi. The record is from RNAcentral.